RNAcentral lists this ribosomal RNA (466 nucleotides) under uncultured bacterium. RNAcentral describes it as "partial 16S ribosomal RNA". It matches the Rfam family "Bacterial small subunit ribosomal RNA", at positions 28 to 507 of the family's 1533-position model. The record is from RNAcentral.
GACGAACGCUGGCGGCGUGCUUAACACAUGCAAGUCGUGCGGUAAGGCCCUUUCGGGGGUACACGAGCGGCGAACGGGUGAGUAACACGUGAGCAACCUGCCCUCCACUUUGGGAUAACUGCCGGAAACGGUGGCUAAUACCGGAUAUGACUUCCCCACGCAUGCGGGGUGGUGGAAAGCCUUCGGGUGGUGGGGGAUGGGCUCGCGGUCUAUCAGCUUGUUGGUGGGGUGAUGGCCUACCAAGGCUUCGACGGGUAGCCGGCCUGAGAGGGUGACCGGCCACACUGGGACUGAGACACGGCCCAGACUCCUACGGGAGGCAGCAGUGGGGAAUAUUGGACAAUGGGCGAAAGCCUGAUCCAGCAACGCCGCGUGAGGGAUGACGGCCUUCGGGUUGUAAACCUCUUUCGCCUGCGACGAAGCGAGAGUGACGGUAGCAGGUAAAGAAGCACCGGCCAACCACGUG